UCUAAUUCCCAUUUAUCCGACAUCGUUAGAUUACACAAGGAAUAUAAAAAAAAAGGAAAAUUGCCUAUAUUUGUAACAUUGGAAUUUGCUAUAUUCUCUGUUAUAAUCCGUUGGAAAAAAGGUUAGUUACUGUUGGUUGUCUUUCCCGUUUUCUUGCAACCAUUGACCUCUUCAACCAUUCAUUUCUUCAACAAACUUAAAACAACAUUACCUCGCCGUUUUGCUUUGUAGUACCAGUCGUUUUGUCUUACAAUUCUUUACGACCUCCACCCUAUAUAAUUUUUUUUUAUAUUUAUCCAACAUGCAGCCC
RNAcentral lists this long non-coding RNA (310 nucleotides) under Manihot esculenta (cassava). Its description in RNAcentral is "long non-coding RNA (MESC_LNC001386)". The record is from RNAcentral. Lineage: Eukaryota; Viridiplantae; Streptophyta; Magnoliopsida; Malpighiales; Euphorbiaceae.